Molecule: ribosomal RNA, 770 nt
Filed under: uncultured bacterium
Lineage: Bacteria
Description: bacterial SSU rRNA
Rfam family: Bacterial small subunit ribosomal RNA
Source: RNAcentral
AGAGUUUGAUCCUGGCUCAGGACGAACGCUGGCGGCGUGCUUAACACAUGCAAGUCGAACGGAAAGGCCCUUCGGGGUACUCGAGUGGCGAACGGGUGAGUAACACGUGGGUGAUCUGCCCUGCACUCUGGGAUAAGCCUGGGAAACUGGGUCUAAUACCGGAUAGGACCGCAUGCUUCAUGGUGUGUGGUGCAAAGCUUUUGCGGUGUGGGAUGAGCCCGCGGCCUAUCAGCUUGUUGGUGGGGUAAUGGCCUACCAAGGCGACGACGGGUAGCCGGCCUGAGAGGGUGACCGGCCACACUGGGACUGAGAUACGGCCCAGACUCCUACGGGAGGCAGCAGUGGGGAAUAUUGCACAAUGGGCGCAAGCCUGAUGCAGCGACGCCGCGUGAGGGAUGACAGCCUUCGGGUUGUAAACCUCUUUCAGUAGGGACGAAGCGAAAGUGACGGUACCUACAGAAGAAGGACCGGCCAACUACGUGCCAGCAGCCGCGGUAAUACGUAGGGUCCGAGCGUUGUCCGGAAUUACUGGGCGUAAAGAGCUCGUAGGUGGUUUGUCGCGUUGUUCGUGAAAACUCACAGCUUAACUGUGGGCGUGCGGGCGAUACGGGCAGACUAGAGUACUGCAGGGGAGACUGGAAUUCCUGGUGUAGCGGUGGAAUGCGCAGAUAUCAGGAGGAACACCGGUGGCGAAGGCGGGUCUCUGGGCAGUAACUGACGCUGAGGAGCGAAAGCGUGGGUAGCGAACAGGAUUAGAUACCCUGGUAGUC